Molecule: ribosomal RNA, 253 nt
Filed under: uncultured bacterium
Lineage: Bacteria
Description: partial 16S ribosomal RNA
Rfam family: Bacterial small subunit ribosomal RNA
Source: RNAcentral
UACGUAGGGUGCGAGCGUUGUCCGGAAUUACUGGGCGUAAAGAGCUCGUAGGUGGUUUGUCGCGUUGUUCGUGAAAACUCACAGCUUAACUGUGGGCGUGCGGGCGAUACGGGCAGACUGGAGUACUGCAGGGGAGACUGGAAUUCCUGGUGUAGCGGUGGAAUGCGCAGAUAUCAGGAGGAAUACCGGUGGCGAAGGCGGCAUCCUGGACCAUUACUGACGCUGAGGCGCGAAAGCUAGGGGAGCAAACGGG